GCAAUCCUUUUGCCUCGACCUCCCAAAAUGCUGGGAUUACAGACCUCUGGAGCUAUUCUCCUUAUCUAUAAUUUUCCUGAAUUAAUCCAGUGAAUCAUGGCUAGAGUUCUAUAUUAGUCUAAGAAUAGAUAUAUGAAGCAAGACUCCUUGACUUCAGAGCCACAAGAUUAUUUUAGAGUCAUCUGCAUCUCAUUGGAUUCAGGAAAGAAGAGCAACUACAAGACUCAUGGUGAUCUGACACAGACAACUAAAGCAAGUUCUUGAAGAUUUUCACUGUGGAAAGUGCUUAGUUUUUGCUGCU
This is a long non-coding RNA of Carlito syrichta (Philippine tarsier), 301 nucleotides long. RefSeq lists it as uncharacterized. The transcript is spliced from 3 exons. The record is from RefSeq and is a predicted model, not a curated record. NCBI's taxonomy places the organism in Eukaryota, Metazoa, Chordata, Mammalia, Primates, Tarsiidae.